RNAcentral lists this ribosomal RNA (468 nucleotides) under uncultured bacterium. RNAcentral's name for it is "bacterial SSU rRNA". It matches the Rfam family "Bacterial small subunit ribosomal RNA", at positions 331 to 795 of the family's 1533-position model. The record is from RNAcentral.
CCAGACUCCUACGGGAGGCAGCAGUGAGGAAUAUUGGUCAAUGGGCGAGAGCCUGAACCAGCCAAGUCGCGUGAGGGAAGACGGUCCUAUGGAUUGUAAACCUCUUUUGCCGGGGAGCAAAAAGCGGUACGUGUACCGCAUCGAGAGUACCCGGAGAAAAAGCAUCGGCUAACUCCGUGCCAGCAGCCGCGGUAAUACGGGGGAUGCAAGCGUUAUCCGGAUUUAUUGGGUUUAAAGGGUGCGUAGGCUGUGAGGUAAGUCAGCGGUGAAAUGCCCCCGCUCAACGGGGUGAAGUGCCAUUGAUACUGCCUUGCUGGAAUGCGGAUGCCGUGGGAGGAAUGUGUGGUGUAGCGGUGAAAUGCAUAGAUAUCACACAGAACACCGAUUGCGAAGGCAUCUCACGAAUCCGCGAUUGACGCUGAUGCACGAAAGCGUGGGUAUCAAACAGGAUUAGAUACCCCUGUAGCA